GCACCCAUGGAGCAGAAGUUUAACUCAUUCCCCUCCCAUUCAAUGUGUUAAGGGAAAGACCCGGGUGCAAAUCCCGGUGGGUGUA
This is a non-coding RNA of Hypoxylon sp. FL1150, 85 nucleotides long. The record is from the annotation of a GenBank genome assembly. Lineage: Eukaryota; Fungi; Ascomycota; Sordariomycetes; Xylariales; Hypoxylaceae.